Non-coding RNA from Cinara cedri, 241 nucleotides. The record is from the annotation of a GenBank genome assembly. Lineage: Eukaryota; Metazoa; Arthropoda; Insecta; Hemiptera; Aphididae.
AUAGGUGAAUACGUUGGAAAGUUAAAAAGGAAAUUUAAAGUUUAUCUGUACGCAGCGAUUAACGAAAAACGAUUCUGAGCGGAGUUCGGUUAUACUAUGUGUUUUGAAAGGCCGUAAUACUUACGAUUUGAAAAUAAUACAUUUCGUAAAGUUUUUCCGGUUUUCCUACGUUUUUCCCCAUUUAUCAUGAAAACUCCUGGGAAAAUUAAAAAAAUGACUCGCCAUGUAGUACCGUCCCAGU